AUCAAGAAUGGUCCACCAACCAAAGGACAUCCAGUCAACUUGACACAACUGUAAGAAGCAUUGGAGUCAUUAAUGGUUCUAAGUUGUGUAUCCCCACAAGGUCUUAAUCUCGUCCCUAAUGCAGGCGGGAAAUGUGGCGGGAGAGUUUGGUGUUACGGCUUUCCGACUUUAAUGACUUGCAGUUGGAGGAGCCCUCUGGAGCAUCGCCACUUUAAGUCAUGAGGAUGGGGGGGAUUUAUCUGACUGUGACUGUCACAUGGGAGCACAUGGGAGCACCAUGCUGGGCCUUACUGUAUGAGUAGAGAGUAGAGUAGGACCGGAGUUAGAAAUUAAAAGAUUUUCUAGAUUAGAAACUGUAUUGUCCAUUAAAGGUAAAAAUAUAAUUACUCAUUAACAAAAUAGUGUGUAGCCCACAUAGCAUUACAGUAAAAUUACACACCAAAAGAGUCAGCGGUAAAGGAACAUACGACAAAUCAGGGUAGUGUUCAACAGUAGUAUUUCAGACAGCCAGAUGAUGCCAUAUUGUCCCUGCCUGCUCUUUGACUAUGCAGUGCAUUCCAGGUGAAAGUUUUCCAUAAACACAGACCUAGGGUCAGUUUACUCUCCCCAGAUCCUAGUCUGAACCAUCUGGAGUAAACAAAGCAAUACUGACCACAGAUCAUGACAUCAUCGUCCCUCUCACAUCAGCCCCUUGGGAGGCACACACACACACACACACUUAAGGUAAAAUCUCCCUCCGUUUUAUUCUGUUACCAAAUGUUGUAUCUGCACCGCUCUUCCUGUAAAUGUAAUUUUGUCAAAUGUUCUGUGGAAAUUGUUAAAAGAGUUGUAUGUUUUGUGAAACUUUGAAAUCAGUGUUUUUUAUUUGGUGUACAUUUAAAGUGAAACAUUUUAGUCCUAGCGUAAUUCUGUCACCAUGGAAUUGCCCAUAUGCUACUGCCCAGUCACAGAAAAACUAGAUUAAAACACUGGCUCUAUGAAAAUCA
Long non-coding RNA from Oncorhynchus tshawytscha (Chinook salmon), 986 nucleotides. RefSeq lists it as uncharacterized. The transcript has 2 exons. Lineage: Eukaryota; Metazoa; Chordata; Actinopteri; Salmoniformes; Salmonidae. The record is from RefSeq and is a predicted model, not a curated record.